CGUCCUAUUAGCUAGUUGGUGAGGUAAUGGCUCACCAAGGCUACGAUGGGUAGGGGUUCUUAGUGGAAGGUCCCCCACACUGGCACUGAGAUACGGGCCAGACUCCUACGGGAGGCAGCAGUAGGGAAUAUUGGUCAAUGGGCGCAAGCCUGAACCAGCCAUGCCGCGUGCAGGGUGAAGGCUCUCUGAGUUGUAAACUGCUUUUGUACAGGAGCAAAAAAAUCCCUGCGGGGGUUCUUGAGAGUACUGUAAGAAUAAGCGCCGGCUAAUUCCGUGCCAGCAGCCGCGGUAAUACGGAAGGUGCAAGCGUUAUCCGGUUUUAUUGGGUUUAAAGGGUGCGUAGGCGGCUUAUUAAGUCAGUUGUGAAAUCCUAGUGCUUAACGCUAGAACUGCAAUUGAUACUAUU
RNAcentral lists this ribosomal RNA (406 nucleotides) under Cardinium endosymbiont of Bemisia tabaci. RNAcentral describes it as "bacterial SSU rRNA". It matches the Rfam family "Bacterial small subunit ribosomal RNA", at positions 234 to 637 of the family's 1533-position model. The record is from RNAcentral. Lineage: Bacteria; Pseudomonadati; Bacteroidota; Cytophagia; Cytophagales; Amoebophilaceae.